RNAcentral lists this ribosomal RNA (400 nucleotides) under uncultured bacterium. RNAcentral describes it as "bacterial SSU rRNA". It matches the Rfam family "Bacterial small subunit ribosomal RNA", at positions 356 to 773 of the family's 1533-position model. The record is from RNAcentral.
GGGGGAUAUUGCACAAUGGAGGAAACUCUGAUGCAGCAACGCCGCGUGAGGGAAGAAGGUCUUCGGAUUGUAAACCUUUGUCCUUGGUGACGAUAAUGACGGUAGCCAAGGAGGAAGCUCCGGCUAACUACGUGCCAGCAGCCGCGGUAAUACGUAGGGAGCGAGCGUUGUCCGGAUUUACUGGGUGUAAAGGGUGCGUAGGCGGCUCUGCAAGUCAGGUGUGAAAACCAUCGGCUUAACUGAUGGACUGCAUUUGAAACUGUGGAGCUUGAGUGAAGCAGAGGCAGGCGGAAUUCCCGGUGUAGCGGUGAAAUGCGUAGAGAUCGGGAGGAACACCGGUGGCGAAGGCGGCCUGCUGGGCUUUAACUGACGCUGAGGCACGAAAGCAUGGGUAGCAAAC